UCCCCGUUGGUGUAACUGGCAGCACGUCGGCCUUUGGAGCCGGUAGGUCGAGGUUCGAAUCCUCGACGGGGAG
RNAcentral lists this transfer RNA (73 nucleotides) under Curtobacterium sp. MCBD17_040. It matches the Rfam family "tRNA". From Rfam's summary of the family: Transfer RNA (tRNA) molecules are approximately 80 nucleotides in length. Their secondary structure includes four short double-helical elements and three loops (D, anti-codon, and T loops). Lineage: Bacteria; Bacillati; Actinomycetota; Actinomycetes; Micrococcales; Microbacteriaceae. The record is from Rfam by way of RNAcentral.